This 28-nucleotide non-coding RNA is filed under the name Xenopus tropicalis (tropical clawed frog). Lineage: Eukaryota; Metazoa; Chordata; Amphibia; Anura; Pipidae. RNAcentral also lists the same sequence under 5 other names. The record is from RNAcentral.
UGGGGGACUGCGUUCGCGCUCUCCCCUG